Molecule: long non-coding RNA, 793 nt
Filed under: Mytilus galloprovincialis (Mediterranean mussel)
Lineage: Eukaryota; Metazoa; Mollusca; Bivalvia; Mytilida; Mytilidae
Source: RNAcentral
UUUUUACCAUUACUAAAUAAUUAUCAAAUAUAACUAGAUUCUACCAUAUAAGCAGCUACAUUCAAGAUAUGGUUUCUAACAUCUGAAAAAUAAAAUCACUAACUUUGACCUUAAUUAAGUGACCUUGACAAGGUUAAGCAAUCUAGAUCAUCCAAUAGUUUUAUUAUAUAGGUAUAAGUAACUGUAUCACAGUAAUUCAGUUGACUCUCUGUAUCUCCAACUCUUUUCAAAUUUAAUUUUAAAUAAAAUGAAAAAUCCAAAGUAUGAAGAACCAUUAUAUUCCAGAGAAAUAAUUGAUCUCUAUGACCUUUUUCCACAUUCCACUAAUUGCACUAUGGGAAACUGGUGAUGUAAAAUAUCUGACUGGUUCAAGUAUUAAGAUUUUCUUCCCGUUUUUUACAAGAAUAUCCCAUAUAUUUAGUUAAAAUUUAGGUCUGUACAAUCAAAAUAGAAUUUACAUACAUGUAACUUCACAAAAGUUCUUUCAGAAUUGAGAGAUAUAAAGAGAGCCAACUUGUGCUCUAAAUUGGUGUAGUUCUGGUGGUUUUCAUCAUGGAUAUGUAAUGGGAUUGAGUAAAAUAUUGGAGUACGCAAAUAACUGCAAUAAAUAUACACAGACAUACAAAUCAAGCAUUACAUAUAAUUAAGGUAAAGGAGUUGGUUUAACAAAAUAAAACUUACGACUAAGAUUAAUCACAUGUAUUCCGAAUUGUUCAUUACUUACGAUAAAUCUUAAUUGUAAGAUUUUUUGUGAAACUGACUCCAGGCUUUCAUACAUAAAAUAAAAUAUCAG